GGUGGCAAAGCCUGUGGGGUAUUCACCUACCUGCUGCAUGAAGGCAGCAUGGAGGGACUGUGGUGGAUUAUCUGCAAAGAUGGCCCAAAUUCUCUCAUCCCUGCAGGUACAUACAAGGGAGAGGACAUCUUAUUCUUAUUGGAUCACGCACAGUGCCUGAAGCAUUCUGUUGCAUGUAGAAAUUUUGAGAAGAAUGCAAAGAAGAAGGGAAGAGUGAGCCUCUCUUUUCCCAUCGUUACCCUCCAUUGUCCUCUUGACACCCUGCUUUUGCAGACAGAGAGUUUGAGACCCUCUCCCAGGAGCCAAGGAGAGGGGAACAGCUGGCUUCACAUCAUCUUUCUAUUCAACAAGACACAAAAAGCUGAAGCCAGGAUGAUAGAAAAGCAACAAAGAAGACACGGUCCUUACUCAUUUCCCUUCCCGCUUCAGAGCAAAUAUGGUGCCUGGUGUUCGAAGGGAGAACUUGUGGGCAGAGCAGGAAGCGUGUAUCCAUUUUCUUAUUUCAUCUUAUUUUCCUGCAUGUGUGUUCAUGACUUGGACCUGAUAUGAGAUUUUUUGCCUCAAUAUUACCCCUUGGAUACAGUAUUAUCAUGGUCCCCUGGCUCCAACCACUCUGCAGAUUUCCCAUGCAAAUCCCCCAUCGUGCCCCGAUUCCCAGGACCAAGCCGCUGCCCACCUCAAUCUACUUGACUCACACCUCUUUUGGACCAUUGAGUCCUCUGAUGAGUUAAAAGCAGCCAUAAAUUCUUAGGUGAUGAGAAGGGUAAUGAAGAAGACAGAUCU
RNAcentral lists this long non-coding RNA (783 nucleotides) under Pongo abelii (Sumatran orangutan). Its description in RNAcentral is "lincRNA". Lineage: Eukaryota; Metazoa; Chordata; Mammalia; Primates; Hominidae. The record is from RNAcentral.